Astatotilapia calliptera (eastern happy) is the source of this 1096-nucleotide long non-coding RNA. Lineage: Eukaryota; Metazoa; Chordata; Actinopteri; Cichliformes; Cichlidae. The record is from Ensembl.
UUUUAAAAUGUAUUCCACUACAGAUUACAGAAUACAUGCCCCAAAAUGUAUUUUCUAACGUAUUCCGUUACGUUACUCAAUAACAGUAACGUAUUCGGAAUACUUUGGAUUACCUAUUAUAUUAUCAUGCUUUUUACAACUACAUGAAUGUACUAUUGCUGUGUGAAUUAUUACUAUUACCGAAGGAUACCUGCCAUACCAAUACCAACUAGAUUUAAAUCUUAAUAUAAAAUAAGUAACAGUAGGGUGGACAUUAGGUAAGGCUGCACUUUUUGCAGCGAUCUCGUAUUGAAAACUAUUCCACGCGUAUAGAAAACAGGUCCGCGGCUCCGAAGUCCGAAUUGUAGUAAAGGGACCUCUGGCUAAUACGUCGGGUUCGUGUCGGGCUCGUAGCCAAAAACUAGCUUUACUUUGUUGUCUGGGUGAACUUUGCUAGCGAGAGACAGAGAGAGGCGUUGAAAGGCUGCUCCAACGGAACUUAUUGUUUCGGAGGAAAACAUGAACACAGUGUACAGUCGAGUCUUAAUAGCUUACUUACAACUGGACUCGUCAGAUAUUCUUUUUGGCUGCAGUGGUUAUUAUUAUAUUUACAUGCUUCCAUCUCCCACUUCUGCUCAGUGACAUCUCUUACUUUUCGACUCUCCUUUUUCUUCCUCCCUGGCGCUCACAGACACAUAACGGGUAUGGCAGUCCAUUCUCCCUGCAGCACAGACUACACUGCCCAUGAGGCUACAUUCUUUGGGACUAUGCCUGUAACACUCAUAUUAAAUAAUUUUUGUGAAUAACUUUUUAAAAAUAUUUCUUCACAUCAUUAUGCAGGCCGCAAGUAGGGGUGACAUGGGCCGCGGGAUUGAGACACAGGCAUUAGAGCCUUUUAAUGCGUGUUUUGCUUGGGGUGUGGAAACCAAAAAUAGAGAGGGCAUAGCUGAACAUAUGAUACAGGAAAAUACUGCCAUGUAAGCCCUUUAUUUCAGCAAAGUAACUGUAUUCUGAAUACCACCUUUUUAAACGGUAACUGUAACGGAAUACAGUUACUCGCAUUUUGUAUUUUAAAUACGUAACGGCGGUACAUGUAUUCCGUUACUCCCCAACACUG